GAUGAACGCUGGCGGCGUGCCUAAUACAUGCAAGUCGAGCGAAAAGACGAGGAGCUUGCUCCUCUGACGUUAGCGGCGGACGGGUGAGUAACACGUGGAUAACCUACCUAUAAGACUGGGGUAACGUCGGGAAACCGGAGCUAAUGCCGGGUAACAUCUUGAACCGCAUGGUUUGACAGUGAAAGACGGUUUUGCUGUGAGUUAUAGAUGGAUCCGCGCCGCAGUAGCGAGUUGGUAAUGUAACGGGUUACCAAGGAGACGAUCCGUAGCCGGCGUGGGAGGGUGGUCGGCCAGACUGGACCUGAGACACGGUCCAGACUCCUACGCGAGGCAGCCGUAGGGAAUCGUCCGCAAUGGGCGAAAGCCUGACGGGGCAGCGCGGCGGGAGUGAAGAAGGUCUGCGGGUCGUAAAGCUCUGUUAGUAGUGAAGAACAAAUGGGUAUGUAACUAUGCACGUCGUGACGGUACUUGAUCAGAAAGCCCCGGCUAACUACGUG
RNAcentral lists this ribosomal RNA (497 nucleotides) under uncultured bacterium. Its description in RNAcentral is "partial 16S ribosomal RNA". It matches the Rfam family "Bacterial small subunit ribosomal RNA", at positions 28 to 507 of the family's 1533-position model. The record is from RNAcentral.